Molecule: unclassified non-coding RNA, 222 nt
Filed under: Hevea brasiliensis (rubber tree)
Lineage: Eukaryota; Viridiplantae; Streptophyta; Magnoliopsida; Malpighiales; Euphorbiaceae
Source: RNAcentral
GGUGGUGAAUUUCAGCUGUUUGUAAUGGCUGCUGCAGUUGUAUGGAGGCAGAUGAAAUCUGAGGUUGAUGAAGCAAAGGUGGCUGAGCAGCAGAUGGAAGAAUUGGAGAUACACUUGGAAUUUGAGAGGGUUGGGGGACAGAAAUGGGACUUGCUUGGGGGAUAUCAAAACCCUUGGGAUGCUGUGGUGUCUGUAGGGGAAUCAGAGGUGUUGACCGAGGCU